GACGAACGCUGGCGGCGUGCUUAACACAUGCAAGUCGAACGGAAAGGCCCUGCUUUUGUGGGGUUCUCGAGUGGCGAACGGGUGUGUAACACGUGAGUAACCUGCCCUUGACUUUGGGAUAACUUCAGGAAACUGGGGCUAAUACCGGAUAGGAGCUCCUGCUGCAUGGUGGGGGUUGGAAAGUUUCGGCGGUUGGGGAUGGACUCGCGGCUUAUCAGCUUGUUGGUGGGGUAGUGGCUUACCAAGGCUUUGACGGGUAGCCGGCCUGAGAGGGUGACCGGCAACAUUGGGACUGAGAUACGGCCCAGACUCCUACGGGAGGCAGCAGUGGGGAAUAUUGCACAAUGGGAGGAAGCCUGAUGCAGCAACGCCGCGUGCGGGAUGACGGCCUUCGGGUUGUAAACCGCUUUCGCCUGUGACGAAGCGUGAGUGACGGUAAUGGGUAAAGAAGCACCGGCUAACUACGUG
This 468-nucleotide ribosomal RNA is filed under the name uncultured bacterium. RNAcentral describes it as "partial 16S ribosomal RNA". It matches the Rfam family "Bacterial small subunit ribosomal RNA", at positions 28 to 507 of the family's 1533-position model. The record is from RNAcentral.